AGCCUUAUUAUAAGUAUUCAGAGGCAGCUUCCAAGACCCAGCUGCAGGAAGUUCGGCCUCACGGCAAGUGGGAAGUCAUUGCCUCUCUCUGGCAUCCAGCGAAGCCUGUUUCCACAGCUCCCCAGACACGUGCUCAACUCUCCUUCCUGCAGAGGAUUUUUUUCUGCCAGGACUACUUUCUGCUCCUCCUCACUUUGCCUGCCCACGGCUCUGGCUCACCUUGGAAGAGGAAAAGCACAUUUUUGAGGAGCCUACUCCCUGCGUGCGUGAGGACUCUGCAGCCUGUCAAGCAGAUACUGAGUUUGGAGCUGCGCUCACUCAGCGCGAUCAACGUGCACGGUUCCCAGCGCCGCCCCGCGCCUCCCCCUCCAGGCUCGAGCUCGGCCCGGGCUUCAGGGGCACCGGGUCGGCUUGUUCUCCCCUCCGCCGCAGUGUCCCCGCGUCGUCGACGGCGUGGAGAGCUGUUCUGACAGAGCGAGAGAAGCCCCGCGGGGGUCAAGGAGGGCCGCAGCUUCUUCUCCAGCUGGGCUUUUGCAAAGAGCCUCCUAUGGGCUUUUCUUGGCGGAUCUCGCUCUUCACUGGCGUCCCGGAGGCCGCCCCCGCCUGUUUUCAAGUCUGGAGAAAUUGGGCGUGGGGGGGAGGAGCGGCGGGGUGCGGUGAUACCCUGAGUGCUCUGCCUCUGAGGAGCUGUUGCCGGUAGGGGGUG
Molecule: long non-coding RNA, 706 nt
Filed under: Equus caballus (horse)
Lineage: Eukaryota; Metazoa; Chordata; Mammalia; Perissodactyla; Equidae
Description: lncRNA (ENSECAG00000040628.2)
Source: RNAcentral